This 650-nucleotide ribosomal RNA is filed under the name bacterium enrichment culture. RNAcentral describes it as "bacterial SSU rRNA". It matches the Rfam family "Bacterial small subunit ribosomal RNA", at positions 8 to 695 of the family's 1533-position model. The record is from RNAcentral.
AGAGUUUGAUCAUGGCUCAGGAUGAACGCUGGCGGCGUGCCUAAUACAUGCAAGUCGAGCGGUAAGGCCCUUCGGGGUACACGAGCGGCGGACGGCUGAGUAACACGUAGGAACGUACCCCAAAGUGAGGGAUAAGCACCAGAAAUGGUGUCUAAUACCGCAUGUGCUCUAAGGAGUAAAGCUCCGGCGCUUUGGGAACGGCCUGCGCAUGAUUAGCUAGAUGGUGAGGUAAUGGCUCACCAUGGCGACGAUCAUUAGCUGGUCUGAGAGGAUGAUCAGCCAGACUGGGACUGAGACACGGCCCAGACUCCUACGGGAGGCAGCAGUAGGGAAUUUUCCACAAUGGGCGAAAGCCUGAUGGAGCAACGCCGCGUGCAGGAUGAAUGCCUUCGGGUUGUAAACUGCUUUUAUAUGUGACGAAUAUGACGGUAGCAUAUGAAUAAGGAUCGGCUAACUCCGUGCCAGCAGCCGCGGUCAUACGGAGGAUCCAAGCGUUAUCCGGAAUUACUGGGCGUAAAGAGUUGCGUAGGCGGCAUAGUAAGCAGAUAGUGAAAGCGUGUGGCUCAACCAUACUCACAUUAUCUGAACUGCUAAGCUAGAGGACGAGAGAGGUCACUGGAAUUCCUAGUGUAGGAGUGAAAUCCGUAGAU